GCCCCGGCUAACUACGUGCCCAGCAGCCGCGGUAAUACGUAGGGGGCGAGCGUUGUCCGGAAUCAUUGGGCGUAAAGGGUACGUAGGCGGCUAAUUAAGUUAGGAGUGAAAAGCCAUAGCUCAACUAUAGUAAGCUUUUAAAACUGUCAUACUUGAGACAUUGAGGGGAAAGUGGAAUUUCUAGUGUAGCGGUGAAAUGCGCAGAUAUUAGGAAGAAUACCAGAGGCGAAAGCGACUUUCUAGCGAUGCUCUGACGCUGAGGUACGAAAGCGUGGGAAGCAAACAGGAUUAGAUACCCUGGUAGUCCACGCCGUAAACGAUGAGUGUUAGAUGUCCGAGGUAAACUUGGGUGUCACAAGCCAACGCGAUAAACACUCCGCCUGGGGAGUACGUACGCA
This 398-nucleotide ribosomal RNA is filed under the name uncultured bacterium. RNAcentral describes it as "bacterial SSU rRNA". It matches the Rfam family "Bacterial small subunit ribosomal RNA", at positions 490 to 890 of the family's 1533-position model. The record is from RNAcentral.